RNAcentral lists this transfer RNA (77 nucleotides) under Candidatus Saccharimonadota bacterium. Its description in RNAcentral is "tRNA-Ala". It matches the Rfam family "tRNA". Rfam says of the family: Transfer RNA (tRNA) molecules are approximately 80 nucleotides in length. The record is from RNAcentral. Lineage: Bacteria; Candidatus Saccharimonadota. RNAcentral also lists the same sequence under 2 other names.
GGGGAUAUAGCUCAGUUGAUUAGAGCGCAGCGCUGGCAGCGCUGAGGUCCGGGGUUUGAGUCCCCGUAUCUCCACCA